GAUGAACGCUAGCUACAGGCUUAACACAUGCAAGUCGAGGGGCAGCAUGGUCUUAGCUUGCUAAGGCCAAUGGCGACCGGCGCACGGGUGAGUAACACGUAUCCAACCUGCCGUCUACUCUUGGACAGCCUUCUGAAAGGAAGAUUAAUACAAGAUGGCAUCAUGAGUCCGCAUGUUCACAUGAUUAAAGGUAUUCCGGUAGACGAUGGGGAUGCGUUCCAUUAGAUAGUAGGCGGGGUAACGGCCCACCUAGUCUUCGAUGGAUAGGGGUUCUGAGAGGAAGGUCCCCCACAUUGGAACUGAGACACGGUCCAAACUCCUACGGGAGGCAGCAGUGAGGAAUAUUGAUCAAUGGGCGCAGGCCUGAACCAGCCAAGUAGCGUGAAGGAUGACUGCCCUAUGGGUUGUAAACUUCUUUUAUAAAGGAAUAAAGUCGGGUAUGUAUACCCGUUUGCAUGUACUUUAUGAAUAAGGAUCGGCUAACUCCGUG
RNAcentral lists this ribosomal RNA (490 nucleotides) under uncultured bacterium. RNAcentral's name for it is "partial 16S ribosomal RNA". It matches the Rfam family "Bacterial small subunit ribosomal RNA", at positions 28 to 507 of the family's 1533-position model. The record is from RNAcentral.